RNAcentral lists this ribosomal RNA (332 nucleotides) under uncultured bacterium. RNAcentral describes it as "bacterial SSU rRNA". It matches the Rfam family "Bacterial small subunit ribosomal RNA", at positions 568 to 898 of the family's 1533-position model. The record is from RNAcentral.
CGUGUAGGCGGUCGGGUAAGUCAGAUGUGAAAGCCUUCCGCUCAACGGAAGAAGUGCAUUUGAAACUGCUCGGCUGGAGUACGGGAGAGGAGAGUGGAAUUCCCGGUGUAGAGGUGAAAUUCGUAGAUAUCGGGAGGAACACCAGUGGCGAAGGCGGCUCUCUGGUCCGAUACUGACGCUGAGACGCGAAAGCGUGGGGAGCAAACAGGAUUAGAUACCCUGGUAGUCCACGCCGUAAACGAUGGGCACUAGGUGUAGGAGGUAUUGACCCCUUCUGUGCCGAAGUUAACGCAUUAAGUGCCCCGCCUGGGGAGUACGGCCGCAAGGCUAAA